This 9769-nucleotide long non-coding RNA is filed under the name Homo sapiens (human). Its description in RNAcentral is "HSALNT0364229". Lineage: Eukaryota; Metazoa; Chordata; Mammalia; Primates; Hominidae. The record is from RNAcentral.
UCCAGUCACCUCCCACCAGGCCCCACCUCCAACAGUGGGGAUUACAAUUCCACAUGCGAUUUGGGUGAGGACAAAGAUCCAAACCAUAUCACCUGCUCACCACCAGCACGUCGCUCUCUUGUUCGUUUCGCUCCCUUGUUCGUUUGCUUUUGCUCUUCCUCUCUUUCACUGCCUAUUUUUCUGUUUCUUUGUAUGUGUGUACUUUGUUUGUUUUCUUUUUCUCCUGUCUCUUCCUCUCCUCCUUUAUCAAUUGUUUCCCCCUCCCUCUUUGUCUCUUUCUUUGACUUUCUUCUUUUAAAAAAAUAUAACUAGCCCUGCCCCUGCCCCUGCCCCUGCCCCUGCCCCUGCCUCUGCCUCUCCCUCUCCCCUCUCCCCUCUCCCCUCUCCCCUCUCCCUCUCGGUCUCCCUCUCCCUCUCUUUCCACGGUCUCCCUCUGAUGCCGAGCCGAAGCUGGACUGUACUGCCUCUGCCUCUGCCUCUCCCUCUCCCCUCUCCCCUCUCCCCUCUCCCUCUCGGUCUCCCUCUCCCUCUCUUUCCACGGUCUCCCUCUGAUGCUGAGCCGAAGCUGGACUGUACUGCUGCCAUCUCGGCUCACUGCAACCUCCCUGCCUGAUUCUCCUGCCUCAGCCUGCCGAGUGCCUGCAAUUGCAGGCGCGCGCCACCACGCCUGACUGGUUUUCAUACUUUUUUAGUGGAGACGGGGUUUCGCUGUGUUGGCCGGGCUGGUCUCCAGCUCCUAACCGCGAGUGAUCCGCCAGCCUUGGCCUCCCGAGGUGCCGGGAUUGCAGACGGAGUCUGGUUCACUCAGUGCUCAAUGGUGCCCAGGCUGGAGUGCAGUGGCGUGAUCUCAGCUCGCUACAACCUCCAUCUCCCAGCCGCCUGCCUUGGCCUCCCAAAGUGCCAAGAUUGCAGCCUCUGCCUGGCCACCACCCCGUCUGGGAAGUAAGGAGCGUCUCUGCCUGGCCGCCCAUCGUCUGGGACGUGAGGAGCCCCUCUGCCUGGCUGCCCAGUCUGGAAAGUGAGGAGCGUCUCUGCCCGGCCGCCAUCCCAUCUAGGAAGUGAGGAGCGCCUCUUCCCGGCAGCCAUCCCAUCUGGGAAGUGAGGAGCGUCUCUGCCCGGCCGCCCAUCGUCUGAGAUGUGGGGAGCGCCUCUGCCCCGCCGCCCCGUCUGGGAUGUGAGGAGCGCCUCUGCCCGGCGGCGACCCCGUCUGGGAGGUGAGGAGCGUCUCUGCCCAGCCGCCCCGUCUGAGAAGUGAGGAGACCCUCCGCCCAGCAUCCGCCCCAUCUGAGAAGUGAGGAGCCCCUCCGCCCGGCAGCCGCCCCGUCUGAGAAGUGAGGAGUCCCUCUGCCCGGCAGCCACCCCGUCUGGGAAGUGAGGAGCGUCUCCGCCCGGCAGCCGCCCCGUCCGGGAGGGAGGUGGGGGGGUCAGCCCCCCGCCCGGCCAGCCGCCCCGUCCGGGAGGGAGGUGGGGGGGUCAGCCCCCAGCCCGGCCAGCCGCCCUGUCCGGGAGGUGAGGGGCGCCUCUGCCCAGCCGCCCCUACUGGGAAGUGAGGAGCCCCUCUGCCCAGCCAGCCGCCCCGUCCGGGAGGGAGGUGGGGGGGUCAGCCCCCCGCCCGGCCAGCCGCCCCGUCCGGGAGGUGAGGGGCGCCUCUGCCCGGCCACCCCUACUGGGAAGUGAGGAGCCCCUCUGCCCAGCCACCACCUCGUCUGGGAGGUGUACCCAACAGCUCAUUGAGAACGGGCCGGGAUGACAAUGGCGGUUUUGUGGAAUAGAAAGGGGGGAAAGGUGGGGAAAAGAUUGAGAAAUCGGAUGGUUGCCGUGUCUGUGUAGAAAAAAGUAGACAUGGGAGACUUUUCAUUUUGUUCUGUACUAAGAUAAAUUCUUCUGCCUUGGGAUCCUGUUGAUCGGUGACCUUACCCCCAACCCUGUGCUCUCUGAAACAUGUGCUGUGUCCACUCAGGGUUAAAUGGAUUAAGGGAGGUGCAAGAUGUGCUUUGUUAAACAGAUGCUUGAAGGCAGCAUGCUCGUUAAGAAUCAUCACCACUCCCUAAUCUCAAGUACCCAGGGACACAAACACUGCGGAAGGCCGCAGGGUCCUCUGCCUAGGAAAACCAGAGACCUUUGUUCACUUGUUUAUCUGCCAACCUUCCCUCCACUAUUGUCCUAUGACCCUGCCAAAUCCCCCUCUGCGAGAAACACCCAAGAAUGAUCAAUAAAAAAAAUAAAAAUUAAAAAAAAAAGUUAAAAAAUAUAUAUAUAUAACUAAUUAAUUUUAACAGACAAAUGAUAAUUGUGCAUAUUCAUGGGGUACAUAGUGAUGUUUCAGUACAUACAAUGUAUAGCGAUCAGAUCAGUGUAAUUAGCAUGGCCAUCCUCUCAAACAUUUAUAAUUUCUUUGUGUUAGGAACUUUUACCAUCCUCCUUCUAGCUAUUUGAAACUCUGUAAUGUAUGAUUGUUAAUUAUAGUCAUCCUCCAGUGCUGUAGAACACUAGAACUUGUUCCUCCUAUCUAGCUGUGAUUUUGUUUCAUUUAACAAAUCUCUCCCUAUCCCUCCCUUCCUCCAACUUUGUUUUACCUCUUCUCUUCUUUAUUCACCUCCACUCUCAUGACCAUCUUUGAAAUCAACCAAAUAUGGAACUUAAAUACAGCAUUUUAGAUAUUCAUAUUUGUAGAAAAUAAUUUUAUACUUGCAGCUCUUAAUUUUAAAAGCAUAUAAGUUUGCAUAUCUCUUUCUUAAAAGAGAAUUCAAGGCCAACAACUUAAAUUUUACUUCUGACAGGAUUUUUUAUUGUUUUCUAUAGGUCAGUGAGCCUGAAUAGACAAAAUAUUUCCUAGCAAAGCCCUCAUAUUUAAUAUUAUGUGAAUUUAAAGUUUUUAAAUCAUAAUUGUAAAAUAAAUAUUUAAUAACUCCUUUACAGAUAGACUUUCUUCUAAGUUGUGCUAAUUUGGUGGUGUUUUGUUGUAUAAAUAUACUGGUUAUAUUAACAUAAAUACAAUAAUCUAAAUGUAGCAUAAUUUUUAAAAUGAGUUUCUCUAUAUUUAUUUUUUAAUUUUUUAAUUUUUAAUUUUUGUAGAGAUUGGGUUUCGCCAUGUUGCCCAGGCUACUCUCGAACUCCUGGGCUCAAACAAUCCUCCCGCCUCAGCCUCCCAAAGUGUUGGGAUUUCAGGCAUGAGCCACCAUGCCCAGUCGAGUUUUGCUUAUAUUUAAUUUAUUUCAUUUACACUUAAUUUUGUAGCUGAAAAUAGGUUUUGAGGAACCUGAAGCCUUAAAGUAAGAAUGUUGAAGAAGAGGACCAGUUCUCCAAGGCAGAAAACGCUAUUACAAAAAGUAGUAUGAUUCUUCUAGGCAUUGUGUCCCUGAGAUCAGGGGCUAAACCAAUUUUUUUUAGACACUCCCUAUCUAACAUCUAUAAAUCUAGGAACUGGAAUUGGAAGUGGAAGAGUCUAUGUAUAGGAAACAUGUUAUUGUAUUAUUUUUUCACAUGAUGCCAUCUUCUAUCUAUGUGCCAAGUGGAAAAUGUCACUGGAAGUGUUUCUUGGCCAAAUAUAACUCUGUUCUGGGAAACUACUUCCUUUAUCAACCGCAGGUAUCUAGACACAUCUUAGAAUAUACUACAGCUCUCCGAGGAGUGCCCACCAUGCUCCUCUGAGCCCAAAAAUCAACUCUCAGGAAAAAAUUGCAAAUUAAUCACAAAGGCAUCUAGACUAGCAUGCAUGUUGCUUCUUUUUCUGGCAGAUCCCUAACCUGGCCAACCAGCUGGACAUGCAGUGUGAGAACUGGGAAUGGGAGUAUCCUGUAAUAGCCAAGCAAGCUGGCUUUUAGAGAUCCCCUUAUGAUUGUCUCAUAGGUCUAUCACACUUAACAUUUUCAAAUCAAAACCCAAUCCCCAAAACAUGUUCUACACUCAGUCUUUCAUAUGUCAGUAAAUAGCACCACCAUACCCCAAGGAGUUCAAGUCAAAACUUAGGACUCAUUCUGGUUUCCUGUUUACCUUGCUCCCAAAAUCCAAUUCAUCAACAAAUCCUAGAGGUUAAUUCCUCCUAAAUAAAUCCUGAAUUUUACCAUCACCACUGAUAUCAUCCUCAUCCAAGCCACCAUCAUCAUUUACCUGGACUUUUGCAAAGGAUUCCUGUUUUCACUAUUGCCCUUCCAUACUCCAUCCUCUAUCCAGCAGAUAGAAUCAUCUGUUAAAAACAGAAAUAAGUCCAUAUCUCUCCUUUGCUUACUCCAGCCCCAUCCAUAGUCUCCCACUGUAAUUAGAACAUAACCAACAGUUGUGCCAUACCCUGUGAAACCCCAUAUGAUCUGGCCUUUCUCCACCUCUACGGUCUCACCUCUUACCUUUCACCCUUUUAUUCAGUUCAUUUCAACUACAUUGUACUUUUUUCUCCUAUCUCAUUAACCUGCACACCAUGCUCAUUUGCACUCAGAGCCUUUGGAUUGCUGUUCCUUCUACCUGAUGUGGUUUUCCCCAGGCCUUCUCAUAGCUGUGUCCUCAUAAUCCAAGUUUCAGCUUAGUUAUCAUCUCCUCAGAGGAGCCUUUCUAUCCCUCCUCUCCCUAUUAAACGUUUUAGAAUUACAUAAAUUUUUAAAAAUUAUGUGCAUCUAUUCCAGCUUUCUUUUGAUUAGUAAAGAUUUAAAAAAUAGAAUUAUGUGCAUCCAUUUUUUCUUUCUUUUUUUUUUUUUUUUUUAGACAAUAUCACUUUGUCACCCAGGCCGGAGUGCAGUGGCAUGAUCUCGGCUUACUACAACCUUUGCCUCCCAGCUCAAGCAACUCACAUGCCUCAGCCUCCCAAGUAGCUGGGACUGCAGGCGUGUGCCACCUCACCUGGCUAAUUUUUGUGUUUUGUUUUUAGUAGAAAUGGGGUUUUGCCUUGUUACCCAGGCUGAUCUCAAACUCCUGGCCACAAGUGAUCUGCCCACCUUGGACUCCCAAAGUGCUGCGAUUACAGGCAUAAGCCACUGCACCUGGCCAGUGUGCAUCUAUUAUUUUGAUAUUUUAAGUUAAAGUAAAAACAAAUAUAUAAAUAAAAUAGCCUCUCUAGUCACUAUUAUAUCACUUUGCUUAGUUUUCUCCAUUGAAGAAAUUAUCUCAAAUUAUUUUCUUUAUGUGUCUACUUGUGUAUCCUGUGUUUCUCACUACAAUGUAAGCUACAUUAAAGAGGGGAUUUGCUUUAGUGACCCCAAGACUGCUAACCUCAUGUCCUAUCAUGUAUCCCAGCACCUUCAAAGUCUUUUGUACAUUGUAGACUCUCAAUAAAUAUUUGUUAAAUGAGUAGAUUUCAGUUAUCCAAGAGACAGGCAGUGUUCUUUUGGCUGAUGCUUAUAUGCAUUCACUUGAAAAGAGUAUUGUAACAAAAUUUGUUCAAGUUGGAUUUUGUUUGCAUAUUAAGAUACUACUGCUGAUACCCAUGCAUAUGGAAUGGGUCUUUGAUACAAGUGAGAAAUUGCCAACACUCAUUUACAGCCUAUUAAUAAAUGGGCUUUAUCCUAUAGAUUAGUAUCUAUGUCCCUGUCAACAUGGCAGUGGUAAAGUUCACAUCAAAGUAAAAAUUGAAAAACAAAAUUAAUGUUAAUUUGGAUUUAAAAGCUCAUACCUGAGUUCUGCUUUCAAGGCAGUGAGGAACUGUGGGGAACUGUCUGGAACUGUUGAUGCUGCAGGUGAAGCUAGAACAUGAGAAUGCUAUAGGCUGGUUUGUAGCACAAUGAAAAUGGAAGAAUAAGAGGUAAGGCCAGUUGCCCGGAGACUCCAAAUAAGAAACAUGGUUAUGAGGAAGUGGUUUAGAAUUAGGGCUUUGAAAAAUAAUAGCUGUCAUUGAUUGAGUGCCUACUAUGUGUGAGGCCAUUCUCCAUAAUCCUUACGGAAACUCCUAAGCUAGGUAUUAUCUCUCCAUUUUACAAAUGAGUAAGCUGAAGUUCAGGAGGUUAAAUGACUGCCAAACCAUACAGUUAUGUAAAAAGUGGAGCAAUGAUUUAAACUAGAUUUUUCAAAUCCUAAAGCUGACAUGCUUUCCACUGUACCACAAUGUCUUCCUUUGUACUGGUGCACUCCAUUUAUUUCUGUGAUUCCUGACACCAAUUUUAGGGCCUGGGACAGCAUCCUAAUGGAAUCAUGCCUAGCUGGAUAGCAAAUGCCUCUGCUGCCAGUAGAGGGGCAACUUAAGAGAAAGGUCCAAGCCAAAUUGGAUCCAAGAGUUUCUGACUAAGCAGGUUUCAAACCUCCUGCUCACACCUCUUCCUCCUCACUUUCUUUCCCAACAUCCUCCCACGGCUCACCUCUACCUCUGUCCACUGGAGACACCAUCCUCCAGGUGCUAAUAAGAAAGCUACUCUGACCAUGGAAAAAGGGAAAGAGGCAGCUCAGCAAAAUCACUGCUGAGAGCCUGGGCAGGCUUAGGCAAUGUGAUCUGAAGAGCUGAAGUGUGCAGCCCACAGAGAGAAAGAAUUGGAUAAAAUACAAAACUAAAGAAGAGGAUAAACCUAAGAGGAAAAUCUUCCUGACAGAGAUGAAUUAGUUACGGGACUAACUCCGCAAAGGAAGAGAUUGGGCUCCGUUCCCUGAGGCUCCCUGAGCAGAAACCAUGUUACAGAGAACAAGUAGGGGGGUUGUGGUUAGCAGGGACAUCAAUGACUAAUAGGUGCUUUCCACCUCUGAGUUUUAUGAAGAUGAGUGGAGUCUUUUUGAAUAGAGAAAGAAAUGAAAAUAAUAAUUAACAUGGAGAGAUGGGGCUGACUAAAGCAUGGCAAAGAUAAACAGGAAUGAGGCUGUUGGCCCUCGUAGUGAGUGUGGAAAAUCAUUUCUUCCAAUUGGGAGAGGCAGAGGUGAUCAGUUCAGAGGUUUAAAUUCAGAGUCCAGGCUCUGUCACUUACUGAUUAUCUGAGCAAAUUAGUUAGCCUUUCUAAGCUACAAAAUAGGAAAAAUACACUAUUUUUCAGAUUAUUUCUCACUGCAGAUUAGGAGUAAUGCCAUUGAAAAGGUUCUUAUGAAGAUUAAAUGAGACAACUCAUGUAAACAACAGUAUCUACUUAGCAUGAAGUAAGCACUCAAAUGACAGUAAUUAUUAUUGGAAUAUGGCUUCGUGUGGAGGGGGAAAUAGAGCUGGGCAAUUAUUAUCAAGGUCACCAUAUGGGGAUAAUUUUUCCCUUUGGACUUAAUGAUGGCAUCUCCUUGGUUUAAUUAUUUGCUGUGUUGGUAGCUCACAUCCUCUCUACUGACUUGGCUUUCAGCUCACGGGAAGAUGAAGCCCAAAUACAAUAGAUACCAAGGCAAGCUUGCCAAAGAGCAGCUCAACCCAUACUGGUACUCUGAGUCAUUCUAAGGAUAAAGCCGCCUCUCCAUGGAGAAGGAUAUUGUACACAGGAGAUAAUACUAAUGACACCGUCCAUUUACUUAGUCUCUUACAGUUUACAAAGCACUCUUACCUGGGAAGGGUUACUAUCUUCAUUUUAUAGAUGAGGAAACAGAGACUUAGAGAGGUGAAGCAACUUGAUUAAGGUUGCAUAGAUAAUUGGUUGUGAGGAUUCACUCCCAGCUCCUCUGACAUCAUGUCUGGGGGCUCUUUUAUACCACAAGAUGCUGCAGGGAACAUGAACAGGUACCAGAUUAGGAGGCUAGUUGCUUUCAAUCAUAAAAACAGUGAAUUUAGGAACAGGAAGAAGCUUUCAGAUGACCUAAUACUGUGGUUUUAGAUUGUGUCCAGGGGUCUAGUAGGCGGUGGAGGGAGCCAAGCAGGAGGCGGGAUCAGCUUUUAUCAAUUAAAUUCAUCAGAUUUUAAUUUGAUGAAAUUAAAAAGAAAAAGAAAGUUGGAAAAACCUAAUCUAGUUCAACUAACUGUCUCAUUUCCCCAAGAAGGAUAUUGAGGCCCAGAAGGGUUAAGUAACUUAUCCAAAUCAGAGCUAAGACUAGCAUAGCACUCAGUCCUCAGUCACCUGCAUAUUUGAUAAGCAUGUCAUAAAUGUCCUCAUUCUCCAAAUAUUUUCCUUUGAUUACCUCAAGCAAGUCACUUACAUGUAAUAAUCAAAUCAUUGAAGAGAAAUUAGCUCUGGUGUGAGUCUCUUCUGAUGACACCAUGUGACCUUGGAAUAGUCGAUUGAUCUCUGGACCCUCAGCUUUUCUAUAGGUAAAAUGGGGAUCAUAAUUUCUGUCUAGACUCUCAGUGGGGCUGUUGUGAUGAAUGUAAAAGAAAAGACCAUAUGGAAGUUCAUAGAGUUCUUCCUGGGAAGGAGACUCAGCAAGUUCAAUGUCUUAUUCUUUAUCAAUACCUACCAAGAAUGUCACUGCUUCUAAGAUGAUAUCUGCAAUUUACCAUUCUCAUUUAUUUGUCAUUCUUUACUCAAAAAGGCAAUGAGGUUUGUAACCAUGUCAGUACUACUGGUUUGUGAAAAAGUCUCAGAAAGUUCUUAUCACGUUGGCUUUCUGAUAAGACUUUUUGAUUUCUACUACUUACAUGUGGAAAGUAAAUCAUUUUAGGUUAAACACCUUUCCUUCUAGACAAGUGACAGAGGCAGAUGUCACUCAGGGUGUUGUAGCAAGCCUGGGGAGCUCAUAGCCAGAUGAGAUCACAGGACUUGUGUGCAGGGUACAGAGUUUGGAACUCUCCCACCUAACUGGCAGUUUCUCCUCCUUCGACAAGGAAUACUAAGAAGAUAUUAUCACAAACUCUUAGGCAGAUCUUGAAAACAGUCUAAUUUGUUUGUGACCUUAGCCAAAUUCUUGAUCUCUCUAAGCUUCAGUUUUCUCACCCGUAUCAUGUACACUUUCCACCUCACAGGGUUGUCAAGGAUCAAAAGAGAGAACACAGGGUGUUUUUGAAAUUGUUGAGCAUCUACUAACUAAAAGGAUUGUUAUUUUUAAGAAUGUGUAAAUUAUUGCAAUUAUUUAUAACAUGCAUUUCAAUUAAAUACUUUCAAUUUGUUAGAAAUACCCACUUGGAUAGAUCAAAUACUAAGGUUGAAGAGAAACAGUGUUUUAAUGUAUUCUGGUCUCUAUGUAGAAAGUAAAAUGGUAAUACUGAGCCAGACGGAGUUAGAGCUAGGGAGCCAGUUAGCCCCUUGCUUGGCAUCAUCAUAAGACAAGAAAUACUUUCAUGUUUUCAUUAAGGACAUUUUAAAUUUAAAAAGAAGAAAUUUUAAAAGCCUUUACCAAAAUUCUGGGUUCCCCAAAUUUCUAACUACAUCCCUUAGAGAACAGCAUUUCUUUGCUUAUCCGUGUUGAUACUUUAAAAAAUCUAGACCUAGUUUCCAUUAUGCAGACAGCCCAGGCACAGAAGCCAACCAGUAUUUUAAGACUGCAAUGUUUACUAAUGGAUGUCUGGCUAGAAACAGUGUUGGCAGAAUCCUGGCAGAGGCAUUUACUCUCACUAAUGAUGUGGAACAGGGCUGCAUAAUUAUGUCCACUUGUAUUAAGUCUACCUAAGACUGUGAUGUUUUGUAGUGGAACCAGAAACAAGCAUCCCAAAAACUCCUGGGAUUUUCCUGCAAGAGGCAUUACAUCAGAACUGGUUCAAGGCCAGGCACGGUAGCUCAUGCCUGUAAUCCCAACACUUUGGGAGUUCGAGGUGGGGGAUCACUUGAGGUCAGGAGUUUGAGACCAGCCUGGCCAACAUGGUGAAACCCCAUCUCUACCAAAAAAGACAAAAAUUAGCUGGGCGUGGUGGCAGGUGCCUGUAAUCCCAGCUACUCGGGAGGAUAAGGGGGGAGAAUUGCUUGAACCCAGGAGGUGGAGGUUGUAGUAAGCCGAGACCAUGCCACUGCACUGUAGCCUGGGC